AGAGUUUGAUCCUGGCUCAGAGUGAACGCUGGCGGCAGGCCUAACACAUGCAAGUCGAACGGCAGCACAGCAGUAGCAAUACUGUGGGUGGCGAGUGGCGGACGGGUGAGGAAUGCGUCGGAAUCUGCCUAUUUGUGGGGGAUAACGUAGGGAAACUUACGCUAAUACCGCAUACGACCUACGGGUGAAAGUGGGGGACCUUCGGGCCUCACGCAGAUAGAUGAGCCGACGCCGGAUUAGCUAGUUGGCGGGGUAAAGGCCCACCAAGGCGACGAUCCGUAGCUGGUCUGAGAGGAUGAUCAGCCACACUGGGACUGAGACACGGCCCAGACUCCUACGGGAGGCAGCAGUGGGGGAUAUUGGACAAUGGGCGCAAGCCUGAUCCAGCCAUGCCGCGUGUGUGAAGAAGGCCUUCGGGUUGUAAAGCACUUUUGUCCGGAAAGAAAUCCUUUCGAUUAAUACUCGGGAGGGAUGACGGUACCGG
Molecule: ribosomal RNA, 484 nt
Filed under: uncultured bacterium
Lineage: Bacteria
Description: bacterial SSU rRNA
Rfam family: Bacterial small subunit ribosomal RNA
Source: RNAcentral